GGUGGCUCAGUGGUAGAGCGCUUGUCUUGCAUGCAUGAGGCCCUGGGUUCAAUUCCUCAGCACCA
Non-coding RNA from Dipodomys ordii (Ord's kangaroo rat), 65 nucleotides. The record is from Rfam. NCBI's taxonomy places the organism in Eukaryota, Metazoa, Chordata, Mammalia, Rodentia, Heteromyidae.